This 252-nucleotide ribosomal RNA is filed under the name uncultured bacterium. Its description in RNAcentral is "partial 16S ribosomal RNA". It matches the Rfam family "Bacterial small subunit ribosomal RNA", at positions 524 to 776 of the family's 1533-position model. The record is from RNAcentral.
UACGUAGGGUGCAAGCGUUAAUCGGAAUUACUGGGCGUAAAGCGUGCGCAGGCGGUUUUGUAAGUCUGUCGUGAAAUCCCCGGGCUCAACCUGGGAAUUGCGAUGGAGACUGCAAGGCUAGAAUCUGGCAGAGGGGGUGGAAUUCCGCGUGUAGCAGUGAAAUGCGUAGAGAUGCGGAGGAACACCGAUGGCGAAGGGCAGCCCCCUGGGCUAACACUGACGCUCAGGCACGAAGCGUGGGGAGCAAACAGG